RNAcentral lists this ribosomal RNA (501 nucleotides) under uncultured bacterium. RNAcentral describes it as "bacterial SSU rRNA". It matches the Rfam family "Bacterial small subunit ribosomal RNA", at positions 28 to 507 of the family's 1533-position model. The record is from RNAcentral.
GACGAACGCUGGCGGCGUGCCUAAUACAUGCAAGUCGAGCGGAAUGAUGAAGAAGCUUGCUUCUUCUGAUUUUAGCGGCGGACGGGUGAGUAACACGUGGGCAACCUACCUUGUAGAUUGGGAUAACUCCGGGAAACCGGGGCUAAUACCGAAUAAUCCAUUUUGCUUCAUGGCGAGAUGUUGAAAGACGGUUUCGGCUGUCACUACAAGAUGGGCCCGCGGCGCAUUAGCUAGUUGGUAGGGUAAUGGCCUACCAAGGCGACGAUGCGUAGCCGACCUGAGAGGGUGAUCGGCCACACUGGAACUGAGACACGGCCCAGACUCCUACGGGAGGGCAGCAGUAGGGAAUCUUCCGCAAUGGACGAAAGUCUGACGGAGCAACGCCGCGUGAGUGAAGAAGGUUUUCGGAUCGUAAAACUCUGUUGUUAGGGAAGAACACGUACGAGAGUAACUGCUCGUACCUUGACGGUACCUAACCAGAAAGCCACGGCUAACUACGUG